GUUUCAAAUAUGUCAUUUUGUUUAGGAUUAUUGGUGUUUGUUACAGAUCUACAAUAACCCGAUCCUGACAAAUAAAUAUUCAUACUUCCAUUCAUUUCAUACACUCGUCGCGAUAUCUCGGAAUAGAAUCUCUUCCCAUUUCGUCUUCGUCUUCUUCUUUCUCUCUGAAGGUUUUGCUAUUCUUACUCAUCAAUGGCUUCCCCUCAUUCCUCAACUGAAAGAGGUAAAAGAUUGGUUGAUGUUGAUGUACUCUGUUAAUUCAUAUAUUAUUUGCUGUGUAGUGCAAACUUGGACCUCCUUCUAAGAAAGGUGCGGCUUCCAAGCAAGGAACUGCUUCUUUUGCUGAGAAGAAGAAGAAGAAUUUGUCUGAUAAAUUGGGACCUCAGUGGAGCAAUAGGGAACUAGAGAACUUCUAUGAAGUAUACGGAGAGCAUGGUAGAGAUUGGAAAAAAGGUGGCUACCACUAUACGUAAAAGAUCUAUUGAAAUGGUGGAAGCUCUUUACUAUUUGAAUCAGGGGACAGCGCGUCUGUUGUAGGCUUCAUUGCUUUGAUGAAACAUCAUUAUAAUGUAAGGUCAACAGCGUCUGAGGGGACAGUGGUCAAAAAUAAUUAACCACUAUCAUCAUGUUUUUAUAAUUUCUUGCAAACUUUUUGUAGUCUUCAAAAGCAUCUGAUGGAGCCCCUCCGUCCCAUCACAAGUUCUUCUAACUAAUCCAUCUCAAGAAGCUCCUGAACUGCAGAUGGACAUUGUUGUUCCAGAGGCUGAUAAAAAGCCAGUCAGAGGCAUUGUUGUUCCAGAGGCUGAUAAAAAGCCAGUCAGAGGCCUCAAAUCUAGCGAGAUUUGGGAUGAAGAAGAAAAGAAUAUUGUGGAUUCUUUUCUUGGCAAAGCUAUAGAUGAACAAAAGGAAUGGGAAGAAUUUGAUCUUACAUAAUUGAAGGAGUCCGAGGGGCUUAUAGGAAGGGACUACAAUGCCAUUUCAGAUUAUGUUGUAAAAAGUUCAAGAGAAUGGAUGCUCAAAAGGGGAAAGGGGCUGCUGCUAAUGUGUCUGAUGGCGUAAAACGGAAAGGGGCUGCUGCUAAGAGGAUAGGUGAUUUUGAAUUGUUGAUUUAAGUGGUGAAAAAAGCUAGUUUUGAUGGUACCAUGGCAGCGGUUAACUCCGAUGCCUUCAAGAUAAAAAUGAAGGAGUGUUUUCUUGAAUCUCGUGCUGAUUUGAAGAUAGUUGAAAAAGGUGCUGCUGAUGCAACCUUGUUUGUUGCUCUGCAGAAUUAGGUAAAAAGUUUUGUUUUUGAUACUAUUGCAAACUCAAAGGUUACUCAAUUCAAAGAGGCCGAAGAAAAUUCUGAUGGGGAGAAGGAUGAUUCCGUGAAGAAGGAUGCUAAAGUUGAUGAGUAGUUGUAUUGGCUACCUUAUAUUUUUUAUUAAAACUAGUUGUUGAUGGGUUGAUUCCCUUUAUCUUGCUGUCACUGGUUGAAUUGAUUUGCUGAGAAUUUUCAUACCCUUUGUUUUGUUUGAUCUGGUACUAUUGACUACCUUAUAUUUUUUUAUUUAAGACAAAUUGUCGAUGGGUUGAUUCCCUUUAUCUUGCUGUCUUUAGUGUAAUUGAUUUGCUGACUA
Medicago truncatula (barrel medic) is the source of this 1616-nucleotide long non-coding RNA. RefSeq lists it as uncharacterized. The record is from RefSeq and is a predicted model, not a curated record. NCBI's taxonomy places the organism in Eukaryota, Viridiplantae, Streptophyta, Magnoliopsida, Fabales, Fabaceae. The transcript has 6 exons.